This 1375-nucleotide ribosomal RNA is filed under the name uncultured bacterium. RNAcentral's name for it is "bacterial SSU rRNA". It matches the Rfam family "Bacterial small subunit ribosomal RNA", at positions 27 to 1393 of the family's 1533-position model. The record is from RNAcentral.
GAUUGAACGCUGGCGGUAUGCUUAACACAUGCAAGUCGAACGGAAACGAUACUAGCUUGCUAGUAGGCGUCGAGUGGCGGACGGGUGAGUAACGCGUAGGAAUCUGCCUGAUAGUGGGGGAUAGCCCGAAGAAAUUCGGAUUAAUACCGCAUAAUCUAUUCGUAGUAAAGUGGGGGACUUUCGAGCCUCACGCUAUCAGAUGAGCCUGCGUAAGAUUAGCUUGUUGGUAGGGUAAAAGCCUACCAAGGCGACGAUCUUUAGCUGGUCUGAGAGGAUGAUCAGCCACAUCGGGACUGAGACACGGCCCGAACUCCUACGGGAGGCAGCAGUGGGGAAUAUUGGACAAUGGGGGCAACCCUGAUCCAGCAAUACCGCGUGUGUGAAGAAGGCCUGAGGGUUGUAAAGCACUUUCAAUUGUGAAGAAAAGUUAGCGGUUAAUAACCGUUAGCCUUGACGUUAACUUUAGAAGAAGCACCGGCUAACUCCGUGCCAGCAGCCGCGGUAAUACGGAGGGUGCAAGCGUUAAUCGGAAUUACUGGGCGUAAAGCGUGCGUAGGCGGUUUAUUAAGUCAGAUGUGAAAGCCCCGGGCUUAACCUGGGAACUGCAUUUGAAACUGGUCAACUAGAGUAUGGUAGAGGAAAGUGGAAUUUCUGGUGUAGCGGUGAAAUGCGUAGAUAUCAGAAGGAACAUCAAUGGCGAAGGCAGCUUUCUGGACCAAUACUGACGCUGAGGUACGAAAGCGUGGGUAGCAAACAGGAUUAGAUACCCUGGUAGUCCACGCCGUAAACGAUGAUAACUAGCCGUUGGGGGGAUUUACCCUUUAGUGGCGAAGCUAACGCGUUAAGUUAUCCGCCUGGGGAGUACGGCCGCAAGGUUAAAACUCAAAGGAAUUGACGGGGACCCGCACAAGCGGUGGAGCAUGUGGUUUAAUUCGAUGCAACGCGAAGAACCUUACCUGGUCUUGACAUCCUGCGAACUUUCUAGAAAUAGAUUGGUGCCUUCGGGAACGCAGUGACAGGUGCUGCAUGGCUGUCGUCAGCUCGUGUCGUGAGAUGUUGGGUUAAGUCCCGUAACGAGCGCAACCCCUAUCCUUAUUUGCCAGCACAUCAUGGUGGGAACUAUAAGGAGACUGCCGGUGAUAAACCGGAGGAAGGCGGGGACGACGUCAAGUCAUCAUGGCCCUUACGACCAGGGCUACACACGUGCUACAAUGGGAAGGACAAAGAGCCGCGAAGCCGCGAGGUGUAGCUAAUCUCAUAAACCUUUUCGUAGUCCGGAUUGGAGUCUGCAACUCGACUCCAUGAAGUCGGAAUCGCUAGUAAUCGUAGAUCAGAAUGCUACGGUGAAUACGUUCCCGGGUCUUGUACACACCGC